This 389-nucleotide ribosomal RNA is filed under the name uncultured eukaryote. RNAcentral describes it as "SSU rRNA". It matches the Rfam family "Eukaryotic small subunit ribosomal RNA", at positions 587 to 978 of the family's 1831-position model. The record is from RNAcentral.
AGCUCCAAUAGCGUAUAUUAAAGUUGUUGCGGUUAAAAAGCUCGUAGUUGGAUUUCUGUCGAAGACGCAGGGUCCGCACUUCGUGCGUGUAUCUUUGUCGGCUUUGGCAUCCUCUCGAAAAACAGCGAUGUGCUUGAUUGCAUGUUCUGGGGUUCGGGACUUUUACUUUGAGGAAAUUAGAGUGUUCACGGCAGGCAAUCGCCCUGAAUAUAUUAGCAUGGAAUAAUAAUAUAGGAUCUGAUGCCUAUUUUGUUGGUUUCUAGGUGUUAGAUAAUGAUUAAUAGGGACAAUUGGGGGGGCAUUCGUAUCAUGGCGUCAGAGGUGGAAUUCUUGGAUUGCCAUGCGACGAACUACUGCGAAAGCAUUUGCCAAGGAUGUUUUCAUUGAUC